GCCCGCAUAGCUCAGUUUGGCAGAGCACCUGAUUUGUAAUCAGGCGGUCCUUGGUUCGAUUCCGAGUGCGGGCUCCA
Molecule: transfer RNA, 77 nt
Filed under: Acidiferrobacteraceae bacterium
Lineage: Bacteria; Pseudomonadati; Pseudomonadota; Gammaproteobacteria; Acidiferrobacterales; Acidiferrobacteraceae
Description: tRNA-Thr
Rfam family: tRNA
About the family: Transfer RNA (tRNA) molecules are approximately 80 nucleotides in length. Their secondary structure includes four short double-helical elements and three loops (D, anti-codon, and T loops).
Source: RNAcentral